This 205-nucleotide non-coding RNA is filed under the name Clostridium taeniosporum. RNAcentral describes it as "GlcN6P sequence". It matches the Rfam family "glmS glucosamine-6-phosphate activated ribozyme aptamer". From Rfam's summary of the family: This entry contains a glucosamine-6-phosphate activated ribozyme that is found in the mRNA for GlmS. Lineage: Bacteria; Bacillati; Bacillota; Clostridia; Eubacteriales; Clostridiaceae. The record is from Rfam by way of RNAcentral.
AAAUCAAUUAAAGCGCCAGGACUUAAGUGGCAAUAGAAUUUUUGUUAAGUUCUACUUAUUAAAUCAAAAAUUUAGAUCAUCACUUAAGUUGACGAGGUUGGGGAGUAUCGAAACUUCGGCGGGUGCCCCACGGUAUUUGCACUACCGUUAGCAACUGGCAAAACUAUAAAGUAAUUUAUAGUACAAAUCCAGUUAGGUGUUAAAA